CCAAUAGCGUAUAUUAAAGUUGUUGCAGUUAAAAAGCUCGUAGUUGAAUUUCGAGACCGGCUUACUGGUCGUGCUAUUGUACGUACUGGUAUAAUCGGUUUCUCCUUUCUGACGAACUAUAAUGCCAUUAAUUUGGUGUUAUAGGGAAUCAGGACUGUUACUUUGAAAAAAUUAGAGUGUUUAAAGCAGGCUCACGCUUGAAUACAUUAGCAUGGAAUAACGGAAUAGGACGUUUGAUUCUAUUUUGUUGGUUUCUAGGAUCGACGUAAUGAUUAAUAGGGAUAGUUGGGGGCAUUAGUAUUCAAUUGUCAGAGGUGAAAUUCUUGGAUUUAUUGAAGACUAACUACUGCGAAAGCAUUUGCCAAGGAUGUUUUCAUUAAUCAAGAACGAAAGUUAGGGGAUCGAAGACGAUCAGAUACCGUCGUAGUCUUAACCAUAAACUAUGCCGACUAGGGAUCGGAUGAUGUUAAUUUUUUAAUGACUCAUUCGGCGCCUUACG
Molecule: ribosomal RNA, 499 nt
Filed under: uncultured Glomeromycotina
Lineage: Eukaryota; Fungi; Glomeromycota
Description: partial small subunit ribosomal RNA
Rfam family: Eukaryotic small subunit ribosomal RNA
Source: RNAcentral